GGCCAGACUCCUACGGGAGGCAGCAGUGAGGAAUAUUGGUCAAUGGGCUUACGCCUGAACCAGCCAAGCCGCGUGAGGGAAGACGGCCCUAUGGGUUGUAAACCUCUUUUGUCGGAGAACAAAACCCGGGACGUGUCCCGGACUGCGUGUAUCCGAAGAAAAAGCAUCGGCUAACUCCGUGCCAGCAGCCGCGGUAAUACGGAGGAUGCGAGCGUUAUCCGGAUUUAUUGGGUUUAAAGGGUGCGCAGGCGGCGCGGCAAGCCGGCGGUCAAAUCGCGGGGCUCAACCCCGCCCAGCCGUCGGAACUGCCGGGCUAGAGUGGGCGAGAAGUGCGCGGAAUGCGUGGUGUAGCGGUGAAAUGCAUAGAUAUCACGCAGAACUCCGAUUGCUGGGGCAGCGCACCGGCUCCCUACUGACGCUCAGGCACGGAAGCGUGGGUAUCGAACAGGAUUAGAUACCCGCGUAUC
RNAcentral lists this ribosomal RNA (467 nucleotides) under uncultured bacterium. RNAcentral's name for it is "bacterial SSU rRNA". It matches the Rfam family "Bacterial small subunit ribosomal RNA", at positions 329 to 795 of the family's 1533-position model. The record is from RNAcentral.